UUUUGUCAUGUUUCAAGUUUAUAUAAAGUUUUGCUACUAACAUCUUGGGGUCAGCGUUUCUGUCUCAGCCACAAGCGCAUCACAAAUUCAAAAGACCCUCACUGCCUCUCUAGCGACUUAAGGAGGAAUCAGGAAGUCGCAAUAGUGUGAUUGGUAGACCAAUGAAGUACGAGCAGCCAUACAAUUUAAGGACUUGUAUUUUGACGGGUAUGCGGUGUCCUGUUGAUUUUGGGCUUUUUGCUUCCUGGCAUUCCCCUUUCUAUGAUGUGCUCCUUUUUGUUACCCGUUUACGUUCAGGUCUUGUCUUGGGGGUGGCUUUGUGACCUUGGGAAAUUUGAGCAUCUCUUGGUGCUGCGUACGGAGAAUUGAAAAUGUCAGAGUCAUUCUCUCUCCACCUUGAUAAGCCUCUAUUAAAAAUUGUUCCUGGAAUCACCAGCAAGCAGAAAAAAGGCAGCCUGAAGAUUGAAGGAGACUGCACAAGUGAAGGCCCUGAGAGUCUCUCCAGGCCACAGUCCGGGACCCUGCCGUCCAUAUGUCUGGGUCUGCUUGGAGAAGAGAAUAAAGACACAGAGCCUUAUUAGCAUUGCUCUCGGGGCUGGCAGGUGUUUGGUGCAGAUGGGCCAGUGAACAGAAUCUUCCUCUUCCACAGCCAUUCGCUUCUGACUAAACCUGUCCAGGGGCCUCCUGACCUCUGACUGCACACUGUGAGUCCCUUUCUUCAUUUAAAUGUACAGGGGGCUUUGUGUCAGGCACGGUGUGAUCUUCAUUGGGUUUAUAGUCUGUGAUAAAUGUCAGAUGGUGUGACUGAUGUCUCUUGUGUGUAUGUGUGUAUGUGUGUUAAUUUCCAUUAUGUUUUUUUUUUUUUUUUUUUUUUACAGAUUCUUCUGCACUAAUUUAACAAAAAAAAAAAAAAAAAAAACACCUGAGCAUCACAUGAGCUUCACAUUGUUUAUUGUUGUUGUUUAGACUUUAUUAAUCCCAAAGGGAAAUUCACGUUA
This 998-nucleotide long non-coding RNA is filed under the name Danio rerio (zebrafish). Its description in RNAcentral is "lncRNA (ENSDARG00000117817.1)". Lineage: Eukaryota; Metazoa; Chordata; Actinopteri; Cypriniformes; Danionidae. The record is from RNAcentral.